RNAcentral lists this long non-coding RNA (3234 nucleotides) under Homo sapiens (human). Its description in RNAcentral is "HSALNT0358089". Lineage: Eukaryota; Metazoa; Chordata; Mammalia; Primates; Hominidae. The record is from RNAcentral.
UAUAACAAACACAUGCCUAGACUGCACCCGGUGCUAAUACUCUGAUCCCCAAAUCACACCUAAGAUGUACUAAAUCAUCUUCAGCAUCCUGAUCCAGGUAAAAGAGCCUCCACAUGUGCCUGAGCAACUCCCCAGUACAAAACCCACCCCAAUGAAGAAAUGGAUAUGCCUUGUAUAUAGUCUGGCAGCCCCAGGGGAAACGUUCAUGGGCUGCACAAUUUAGCCUUGGAAAUAGAGGAUGACAAGAAUACUGAUGCUUCAUAAUUGAAGGCCUGGUUGGAGUAUGCGGCCAGCCUUAUCCAGGUUACCCCACCUGAACAUCCUCCUGGGAGGAAGCAGGGCAUGAAUCCGAAGGAAUUAGUGAAGUCCUUCCAUAGCCAUCCUUGAUGGUGGAGCGGGGGUGUGUCUCAGCAAAAAGGGCUGAAGUAUAAGGUGCUGGGACCAGUUGUCAGUAAAGGCAGUAUGAUUCAAUGAAUCAAUUAAAUCAGGAUGGAGAAGGGAAGCAAAAAGUCCAAGCCAGAUAAGUGGAACUACCCAUGAAACUGGAGGGUGUGGUGAACAAAAGCAAAAUGAUUAGUCACAAGGUCAGGAGCAAGUGGCCCCAGGAUGAAGAAAGGUAGCUAGAUGGAGGAUGGUUCUCCUCAUUCCGCAGAUGAUGAACUUGAAACCAGUGACACUUUUUGACAGGAAAAAAAAAAGAAAAAUUCUGUGGAAGGCAGCUUCGAGAAGACAUAAUCCAUGUGUGAUUGUUUGAGAGCAAGAAGGGUUAAAAAAGGCAACAACAAAAAACCUGCUCAUUUUUGCUGCUUGCUUAAGAAAAAAACAACUCAAGCCAUCUCCAAAUGUAGUUUAAUCCAUUUUCAGACUUUAUACAUUAUGCAUCAAGAUUUUGUACAAAAGGAAUUUGAGAGGAGUGUUUGCAUGAAACCACUUCAGUGGAUUAAAUUUGCAGUUCAGCACAUUAGACUCAAAAAGUAUACAAGACAUUUUGAGAGUCCCUGACUCCUUCCUUUAUAUGCAUAGUUCCUACUUCAGGUAAAUAAGUUUUUAAGAAUGAGUGGAUUCCAGCAGCUGUCUUUAAGGGAAAAAUUAAGAAAGGAUUUGGUCUACCUUCCACUUAGCUUCACAAUGAUUGCAAAUGUUUGAAGAACAGAAAGCCUAGUUGAGAAGGUGGAUCUAAGCUGUUCUAUGGACCUCGAGAUUCUUUUAGGCAAAGCUGCCCUAUCCAAGGUGGAAAAGCUAAUGUGAAAAGACAUUCUCAAUAGAAGGAGUUCACACAGCGAUGUCAUAACUGCAAACCCCACCCACCUUCAGUUCAGAGUUGAGAUGCCACUUGCGUAGGCCACCCAGAUGGUAAGCUCAGACAGUCAUCCAGAUGUCUUUAUCUAGUGGAGGCCAAACAUCACUGAGACCACAUCUGGAUGUUUAGUGGGCCAACGACAUUUUUAUUUCCUGCUGUUUAAAUAAUAGAUUUGGGGGAUCUUGGAAACGUAGUCUUUAUUUCCUCUUACCCCAGAGUUGCUCUGCUGCAGGAACACACUUUAUGACAAUCGGGUCAAAUCAGAAGCAGCCAGAGAGCCACCCGUUUCUGGGCUGUUAAUGAUGGGAGGUCCUAAACUGACAGGCGGAGUCUGACGUCUAAACAUCAUGACUGUUAUAAACCAGGAGGUGUCCAAACAACCUAUGGAGCACCUGAAAGUUUCUAUAAUAACUUGUAUUUUUUUUUUUCAAGUGUUGAAAACUUCCUAGCAGUGUGGCUGGUUGCCUGGGCUACAGUGUUGUGUUGACAGCUCUGGUCCUUUUCCUGGCAGCCGAGGAUCUGCACAGUGACCAAUGAGAGGGGAGCAUUCUGCUCUGAACUUUCCAUUAGGCUGAUGAUUCACUUUGAAAUCCACACUUUAUGAAUGCUGUGAAUUCAAUGUAAUGUAGCUGUUGAGGUGUCUACAUUCAAAUUUGAUUCCAUUAACUUUACGGUGUGAUUAAGUGUCUGAAUCAUCAGGACUUGGGAUUGAAUUUAUGUGCCUUCUGCGAGCCCUUUUGUAGACUGGUAGUUUUGAUGAGUGUAAUUUGAUGUAUGGGAUUGGGAGAAGAAACCUAAAAAGAUAUCACCUCAAAUAUAACAAGGAUCUGAGAACCCAAAUUUGAGCGUUGAGGUGGGUGGUCACUCUCAGAUGUGCAGAGUGGAGCUACUCUUCAGCAUGCACACUUUUUUCUUUAAAGAACUUGAUUUUUGGUGUUAGAAGGGACUUAGAGGUCCCUUCUAAGGGACCUCUAAAUUUGGCUUUCAAAUUUUAAAGUACUUAACUAUUAAUUAGGGUGCUUCUUAAAAAAAAAACGCCGAUUUCAGAUCGUGCCUUCUGAUUCUGAAGGGCUGGAAUGGGAUGCAGGAAUGGAAUUAUAGACCUCCCUGGGAGAAAUGCUGACUUAGUUGUUUUGCAUUUGGGAGAGUGAUGGGCCUCAUCCAUGGCCUUCCUCACAGCUAGUGGUAAGAGAGUCAAGCCCAGAACUGGAUCUCUAUAUGUUUCCUCAGGGGUCAUUCAUCACGUACUUAGUUCAUGCUCAUGCGAAUUGACAUUUAUGACAUGGAAAUUAUCGGUAGUAAGAAAGUGAAAAGAACAUGGAGUGGCAGAGAGUGUGGCAUAUUGCAGUUUAGCAAAAAUGAGUUCUGAAAUCUCAUUUGAAAAUUUUAAGUUCUCCUUAACACAUAGGGGUUAAAUGGGAGAUGCACAAUGCUUCACAUAUUUGAGUCAAUUUUAGGCAGUUGCUAAGAUAGCAGUGUACAAAAUAUUUUUACUUUUGCAUUUCCCUUUAUAGAUUUCUUUGGACUUAAAUACACUGAAAUUUUAAUUUAAAUUCUCCAUGUAUUUAAAUUCUCCAUGUAUUUAAAUUCCAGAAUUGAUGAAAUUAAACACUUUUUCAUUAUUGCUGACAAUUUGUACUUAUUCUUUAAUUCUUUGUGAAUCAUUUUUCAGAUCCUUUGUGAACUUCUCUACUGAGUUGCUGGCUUUUUUUUUCUGGUAUUGUUUUUAAAUAGAUGUUUUUUAUUAAAGUUAUUAACUCCAUGUCUGUCAUACAAUUCCCUGAAAGUGUUUUUCUGUUUUUUGUUUUAUGUUUAUUUAUGGUUACUUUUCUUUUAUAUGGAGCAGUUUAAAAUUUUUCUACAGAAACAUUAAAAUCCUUUUUUCUGUUCUCUGUGAUGAUGUUUCAUCAGUUUUAUUUGUUAAAGCUCUCCCU